RNAcentral lists this non-coding RNA (204 nucleotides) under Veillonella montpellierensis DNF00314. Its description in RNAcentral is "raiA RNA". It matches the Rfam family "raiA RNA". Lineage: Bacteria; Bacillati; Bacillota; Negativicutes; Veillonellales; Veillonellaceae. The record is from Rfam by way of RNAcentral.
UGCAUACGAGUCUGUGGUUGAAAGUCGAUGCCAGACGCAGGCAAAACGAUCCACGUAAGCAAGUGAAUGACUUGUGAGCAUGGUGCGUCUUAGAUGUAAGUCCUGCCGGAAUAACCGAGAGGAGCAGUAGUGGGGAGCAAUAGACUUAUGAGCGAACCUCCCAGCAGGCGAGUGUGGGGUCAAAAACCAGGUCAGUCGUAUAGA